Molecule: unclassified non-coding RNA, 240 nt
Filed under: soil metagenome
Description: partial contains 5.8S ribosomal RNA, internal transcribed spacer 2, and large subunit ribosomal RNA
Source: RNAcentral
AACAUCGCGCACCUGCGGGAACCUGCGGAGGGAUCAUUACCGAGUUGCAAAGCUCCCAAACCAUUGUGAACCUACCUUCAACCGUUGCUUCGGCGGGCCGGUCUCCGCGACCGCCCGGCCUCCCUCUGGGGGCGCCCGCCGGAGGUUACCUAAAAACCCUUUGCGUUUGUGUGGCCUCUCUGAGUCUUCUGUACUGAAUAAGUCAAAACUUUUAACAAUGGAUCUCAGAUCGGAAGAGCA